GUGGAGCNUUACAUGCAGUCGAGGGGCAUCGGGAGGGAAGCUUGCUUUCCUUGCCGGCGCCCGGCGCACGGGUGAGUAACACGUAUGCAACCUGCCCUCUUCAGGGGGACAACCUUCCGAAAGGGAGGCUAAUCCCGCGUAUAUCGGUUUCGGGCAUCCGUUAUCGAGGAAAGAUUCAUCGGAAGAGGAUGGGCAUGCGGCGCAUUAGCUAGACGGCGGGGUAACGGCCCACCGUGGCGACGAUGCGUAGGGGUUCUGAGAGGAAGGUCCCCCACACUGGUACUGAGACACGGACCAGACUCCUACGGGAGGCAGCAGUGAGGAAUAUUGGUCAAUGGGAGAGAUCCUGAUCCAGCCAAGCCGCGUGAGGGAAGACGGCCCUAUGGGUUGUAAACCUCUUUUGUCGGAGAACAAAACCCGGGACGAGUCCCGGACUGCGUGUAUCCGAAGAAAAAGCAUCGGCUAACUCCGUGCCAGCAGCCGCGGUAAUACGGAGGAUGCGAGCGUUAUCCGGAUUUAUUGGGUUUAAAGGGUGCGUAGGCGGUCCGUUAAGUCAGCGGUAAAAUUGCGGGGCUCAACCCCGUCGAGCCGUUGAAACUGGCAGACUUGAGUUGGCGAGAAGUACGCGGAAUGCGCGGUGUAGCGGUGAAAUGCAUAGAUAUCGCGCAGAACUCCGAUUGCGAAGGCAGCGUACCGGCGCCAGACUGACGCUGAGGCACGAAAGCGUGGGGAUCGAACAGGAUUAGAUACCCUGGUAGUCCACGCAGUAAACGAUGAAUGCUGGUUGUCCGGGUCGAAUG
RNAcentral lists this ribosomal RNA (800 nucleotides) under uncultured bacterium. Its description in RNAcentral is "bacterial SSU rRNA". It matches the Rfam family "Bacterial small subunit ribosomal RNA", at positions 43 to 835 of the family's 1533-position model. The record is from RNAcentral.